This 301-nucleotide ribosomal RNA is filed under the name uncultured bacterium. RNAcentral describes it as "partial 16S ribosomal RNA". It matches the Rfam family "Bacterial small subunit ribosomal RNA", at positions 509 to 807 of the family's 1533-position model. The record is from RNAcentral.
CAGCCGCCGCGGGAAUACGUAGGUGGCAAGCGUUGUCCGGAAUUAUUGGGCGUAAAGGGCUCGCAGGCGGUUUCUUAAGUCUGAUGUGAAAGCCCCCGGCUCAGCCGGGGAGGGUCAUUGGAAACUGGGAAACUUGAGUGCAGAAGAGGAGAGUGGAAUUCCACGUGUAGCGGUGAAAUGCGUAGAGAUGUGGAGGAACACCAGUGGCGAAGGCGACUCUCUGGUCUGUAACUGACGCUGAGGAGCGAAAGCGUGGGGAGCGAACAGGAUUAGAUACCCCAGUAGUCCCUGUCUCUUAUAC